This 216-nucleotide ribosomal RNA is filed under the name Glomeromycotina sp. RNAcentral's name for it is "partial small subunit ribosomal RNA". The stretch from base 40 to 216 matches the Rfam family "Eukaryotic small subunit ribosomal RNA", at positions 686 to 864 of the family's 1831-position model. Lineage: Eukaryota; Fungi; Glomeromycota. The record is from RNAcentral.
GGGUCAGUAGGUUGGUCGUGCCACCGGUACGUACUGGCCUCACUGAUUCCUCCUUCCUGAAGAACCGUAAUGCCAUUAAUUUGGUGUUGCGGGGAAACAGGACUGUCACUUUGAAAAAAUUAGAGUGUUUAAAGCAAGCUAACGCUUGAAUACAUUAGCAUGGAAUAAUGAAAUAGGACGAUCGAUCCUAUUUUGUUGGUUUCUAGGAUUGACGUA